This 465-nucleotide ribosomal RNA is filed under the name Vreelandella stevensii. RNAcentral's name for it is "partial 16S ribosomal RNA". It matches the Rfam family "Bacterial small subunit ribosomal RNA", at positions 338 to 795 of the family's 1533-position model. The record is from RNAcentral. Lineage: Bacteria; Pseudomonadati; Pseudomonadota; Gammaproteobacteria; Oceanospirillales; Halomonadaceae.
CCUACGGGGGGCUGCAGUGGGGAAUAUUGGACAAUGGGCGAAAGCCUGAUCCAGCCAUGCCGCGUGUGUGAAGAAGGCCUUCGGGUUGUAAAGCACUUUCAGUGGGGAAGAAAUCCUUGGGGCUAAUACCCUCGAGGAAGGACAUCACCCACAGAAGAAGCACCGUCUAACUCCGUGCCAGCAGCCGCGGUAAUACGGCGGGUGCGAGCGUUAAUCGGAAUUACUGGGCGUAAAGCGCGCGUAGGCGGUCUGAUAAGCCGGUUGUGAAAGCCCCGGGCUCAACCUGGGAACGGCAUCCGGAACUGUCAGGCUAGAGUGCAGGAGAGGAAGGUAGAAUUCCCGGUGUAGCGGUGAAAUGCGUAGAGAUCGGGAGGAAUACCAGUGGCGAAGGCGGCCUUCUGGACUGACACUGACGCUGAGGUGCGAAAGCGUGGGUAGCAAACAGGAUUAGAUACCCGUGUAGUC